RNAcentral lists this transfer RNA (542 nucleotides) under uncultured cyanobacterium. Its description in RNAcentral is "partial contains 16S ribosomal RNA, 16S-23S ribosomal RNA intergenic spacer, and 23S ribosomal RNA". The stretch from base 212 to 284 matches the Rfam family "tRNA". Lineage: Bacteria; Bacillati; Cyanobacteriota. The record is from RNAcentral.
CAGGGAGACAACAAAAUGUUUAAUAUUAUUAUUUUGUCACCUUAGGUCGAUCGGUAUCUCACAUUCUUAAUUUAUUAAGAAUUUCAUUUCCUAAGUUUUUCUAGGUCACACCCAUUAUUUUUCCUGGGCCAUUAGCUCAGGUGGUUAGAGCGCACCCCUGAUAAGGGUGAGGUCCCUGGUUCAAGUCCAGGAUGGCCCAUAUCUCUAUGUUGGGGGUAUAGCUCAGUUGGUAGAGCGCCUGCUUUGCAAGCAGGAUGUCAGCGGUUCGAGUCCGCUUACCUCCACUGAUUACCACCUCUUCCAUAACCGGUAGAAAGGAAAUGUUUUGAGUUGUGAUCAUUAUUCUGAACGAAUCCAGCUUCCUAAUGAAAUCAUUAAGAUGCUGGACUCAUUGAAUUAACUUCAUUGUUUUCAGAGAACCUUGACAACUGCAUAGAUUAUUUUUAAAGACAAUAAGCAUCUUUAAUGAUGCAGAUUUAUUAUUUGUGCGAAUGCAUUAAUAACAAUUCUAUUAAGCCGAUGCUUCAAUUUUUGAAGUUAUU